UUUGUAUUACGUGCGGAAAUUGCUACCAUUUUUAAGCUGAAAAUGGUAACAAUUUCCGCACGUAAUACAAA
This 71-nucleotide microRNA precursor is filed under the name Paramuricea clavata. Lineage: Eukaryota; Metazoa; Cnidaria; Anthozoa; Malacalcyonacea; Plexauridae. The record is from RNAcentral.